RNAcentral lists this ribosomal RNA (305 nucleotides) under uncultured bacterium. Its description in RNAcentral is "bacterial SSU rRNA". It matches the Rfam family "Bacterial small subunit ribosomal RNA", at positions 335 to 637 of the family's 1533-position model. The record is from RNAcentral.
CUACCUACGGGAGGCAGCAGUGAGGAAUAUUGGUCAAUGGGCGGGAGCCUGAACCAGCCAAGUCGCGUGAGGGAAGACGGUCCUAUGGAUUGUAAACCUCUUUUGUCGGGGAGCAGAGAGACCACGUGUGAUCAAAAGCGAGAGUACUCGAAGAAAAAGCAUCGGCUAACUCCGUGCCAGCAGCCGCGGUAAUACGGAGGAUGCGAGCGUUAUCCGGAUUUAUUGGGUUUAAAGGGUGCGUAGGCGGGAUGGUAAGUCAGCGGUAAAAAUGCGGAGCUCAACUCCGUCGAGCCGUUGAAACUGUC